This 76-nucleotide transfer RNA is filed under the name Clostridia bacterium. RNAcentral's name for it is "tRNA-Val". It matches the Rfam family "tRNA". Rfam says of the family: Transfer RNA (tRNA) molecules are approximately 80 nucleotides in length. Their secondary structure includes four short double-helical elements and three loops (D, anti-codon, and T loops). Further hydrogen bonds mediate the characteristic L-shaped molecular structure. tRNAs have two regions of fundamental functional importance: the anti-codon, which is responsible for specific mRNA codon recognition, and the 3' end, to which the tRNAs corresponding amino acid is attached (by aminoacyl-tRNA synthetases). tRNAs cope with the degeneracy of the genetic code in two manners: having more than one tRNA (with a specific anti-codon) for a particular amino acid; and 'wobble' base-pairing, i.e. permitting non-standard base-pairing at the 3rd anti-codon position. Lineage: Bacteria; Bacillati; Bacillota; Clostridia. The record is from RNAcentral.
GGAGGCAUAGCUCAGUUGGUAGAGCACCUGCUCCACACGCAGGGGGUCACAGGUUCAAGUCCUGUUGUCUCCACCA